CCUACGGGUGGCAGCAGUGCGGAAUAUUGGUCAAUGGACGGGAGGCUGAACCAGCCAAGUCGCGUGAGGGAAGACGGCCCUACGGGUUGUAAACCUCUUUUGUCUGGGAGCAAAGUGCAGGCCGUGACCUGCUGUGAGAGUACCAGAAGAAAAAGGAUCGGCUAACUCCGUGCCAGCAGCCGCGGUAAUACGGAGGAUGCGAGCGUUAUCCGGAUUUAUUGGGUUUAAGGGGUGCGCAGGCGGAGGCACAAGGCAGCGGUAAAAUGGCGGGGCUCAACCCCGCUCAGCCGUUGAUACUGUGUCUCUUGAGUGCGCGAAGGGUAGGCGGAAUGCGUGGUGUAGCGGUGAAAUGCAUAGAUAUCACGCAGAACUCCGAUCGCGAAGGCAGCCUACCGGCGCGCAACUGACGCUCAUGCACGAAAGCGUGGGUAUCGAACAGGAUUAGAUACCCGUGUAGUC
RNAcentral lists this ribosomal RNA (459 nucleotides) under uncultured bacterium. Its description in RNAcentral is "partial 16S ribosomal RNA". It matches the Rfam family "Bacterial small subunit ribosomal RNA", at positions 338 to 795 of the family's 1533-position model. The record is from RNAcentral.